This 2044-nucleotide ribosomal RNA is filed under the name marine sediment metagenome. RNAcentral's name for it is "bacterial LSU rRNA". It matches the Rfam family "Bacterial large subunit ribosomal RNA", at positions 3 to 1995 of the family's 2925-position model. The record is from RNAcentral.
CCAAGCUAUUAAGGGCAAACGGUGGAUGCCUAGGCGUCAAGAGGCGAUGAAAGACGUGGAAAGCUGCGAUAAGCUUCGGGGAGCUGCUAAACAAGUUUUGAUCCGGAGAUUUCUGAAUGGGGAAACCCGUCGCGAGUAGUGUCGCGACAUCUUCAGCUGAAUACAUAGGCUGUUGAGGCUAACGGGGUGAACUGAAACAUCUUAGUAACCCUAGGAAGAGAAAACAAUAGUGAUUUCCUAAGUAGCGGCGAGCGAACGGGAAACAGCCCAAACCAUGCACCCUUCGGGGCGUGUGGGGUUGUAGGACCGUCAUCACGUGAUCCAUUAUUAGAUAGGAGAGCAGGUUGGAAAACCUGGCCAUAGAGGGUGAUAGCCCCGUAUCCGAAAUCGAAAGUGGCACAGACGGCACCUGAGUACCACGGGACACGAGAAACCCUGUGGGAAUCCGGGAGGACCAUCUCCCAAGGCUAAAUACUACUUGACGACCGAUAGUGAACCAGUACCGUGAGGGAAAGGUGAAAAGUACCCCGGUGAGGGGAGUGAAAUAGUACCUGAAACCGUUUGCCUACAAGCAGUGGGAGCACGAUGAACAUGGCCUUGUGCCCUGUUCCGUGUGACUGCGUGCCUUUUGCAUAAUGAGUCAGCGAGUUACUUUACGUAGCAAGGUUAAGCCGAUAGGUGUAGCCGUAGCGAAAGCGAGUCUUAACAGGGCGAUUGAGUUGCGUGGAGUAGACCCGAAACCAAGUGAUCUAUCCAUGGCCAGGGUGAAGCGAGAGUAAAAUCUCGUGAAGGCCCGAACCGUUGUAUGUUGAAAAAUGCUCGGAUGAGCUGUGGAUAGGGGUGAAAGGCCAAACAAACUUGGAAAUAGCUGGUUCUCCCCGAAAUAUAUUUAGGUAUAGCCUUGCGUCAAUCAGUAACGGGGGUAGAGCACUGGAUGGGCUAGGGGUCCUACCAGAUUACCAAACCUAACCAAACUCCGAAUACCGUUAACUGUUAUCGCAGGAGUCAGACUACGGGAGCUAAGUUCCGUGGUCGAGAGGGAAACAGCCCAGAUCGCCAGCUAAGGUCCCUAAAUGAGUGCUAAGUGGGAAAGGAUGUGGAAAUGCACAGACAACCAGGAGGUUGGCUUAGAAGCAGCCACCCUUUAAAGAAAGCGUAAUAGCUCACUGGUCGAGUGAGUCUGCGCCGAAAAUGUAACGGGGCUUAAGCACACUACCGAAGCUGCGAGAUGAUUCUUUGAAUCAUCGGUAGGGGAGCAUUGUGUACGGGUUGAAGGUCGACCGUAAGGACGGCUGGACUGUACACAAGAGACCAUGCUGACAUGAGUAACGAUAAAGCGGGUGAAAAACCCGCUCGCCGAAAACCUAAGGUUUCCUGAGUAAAGCUAAUCUGCUCAGGGUUAGUCGAUCCCUAAGCCGAGGCCGAAAGGCGUAGGUAAUGGAAAACAGGUUAAUAUUCCUGUACCACCAGUUUGUCGUUUGAGUGAUGGGGGGACGCAGAAGGGUAGGUCAUCCACCGAUUGGAAGUGGUGGUUUAAGCCAGUAGGCUGAAAGGACAGGCAAAUCCGUCCUUUUAUUUAAAUGCCGAGAGGUGAUGACGAGUCCGCUUGCGGACAUAAAGUGAUUGAUCCCAUGCUGCCAAGAAAAGCCUCUAGCGAGACAAGCAGGUGAUCGUACCGCAAACCGACACAGGUAGGUGGGGAGAAAAUCCCAAGGCGCUUGAGAGAACCCUGGUUAAGGAACUCGGCAAAAUAACACCGUAACUUCGGGAGAAGGUGUGCCCUCAUUAGGUGAAACGUUUUACAUGUGGAGCUGACGGGGGCCGCAGAGAAAUGGCGGUAGCGACUGUUUACUAAAAACAUAGGACUCUGCUAAGUCGCAAGACGAUGUAUAGGGUCUGACGCCUGCCCGGUGCCGGAAGGUUAAGGGGAUUUGUUAGCUCUUCGGAGCGAAGCUUUGAACCGAAGCCCCGGUAAACGGCGGCCGUAACUAUAACGGUCCUAAGGUAGCGAAAUUCCUUGUCGGGUAAGUUCCGACCUGCACGA